RNAcentral lists this ribosomal RNA (496 nucleotides) under uncultured bacterium. RNAcentral's name for it is "partial 16S ribosomal RNA". It matches the Rfam family "Bacterial small subunit ribosomal RNA", at positions 29 to 507 of the family's 1533-position model. The record is from RNAcentral.
AUGAACGCUGGCGGCGUGCCUAAUACAUGCAAGUCGAGCGAACAGACGAGGAGCUUGCUCCUCUGACGUUAGCGGCGGACGGGUGAGUAACACGUGGAUAACCUACCUAUAAGACUGGGAUAACUUCGGGAAACCGGAGCUAAUACCGGAUAAUAUAUUGAACCGCAUGGUUCAAUAGUGAAAGACGGUUUUGCUGUCACUUAUAGAUGGAUCCGCGCCGCAUUAGCUAGUUGGUAAGGUAACGGCUUACCAAGGCAACGAUGCGUAGCCGACCUGAGAGGGUGAUCGGCCACACUGGAACUGAGACACGGUCCAGACUCCUACGGGAGGCAGCAGUAGGGAAUCUUCCGCAAUGGGCGAAAGCUUGACGGAGCAACGCCGCGUGAGUGAUGAAGGUCUUCGGAUCGUAAAACUCUGUUAUUAGGGAAGAACAAAUGUGUAAGUAACUAUGCACGUCUUGACGGUACCUAAUCAGAAAGCCACGGCUAACUAUGUG